This 485-nucleotide ribosomal RNA is filed under the name uncultured Acaulospora. Its description in RNAcentral is "SSU rRNA". It matches the Rfam family "Eukaryotic small subunit ribosomal RNA", at positions 569 to 1056 of the family's 1831-position model. Lineage: Eukaryota; Fungi; Glomeromycota; Glomeromycetes; Diversisporales; Acaulosporaceae. The record is from RNAcentral.
AGCAGCCGCGGUAAUUCCAGCUCCAAUAGCGUAUAUUAAAGUUGUUGCAGUUAAAAAGCUCGUAGUUGAAUUUCGGGGUUCAUCCGUUGGUCGGGCUUUUUUGGUCUGUACUGGCGUGAUGGAUUCCUACCUUCUGAAUAACCGGCAUGUCAUUAAUUUGGUGCGCCGGGGAAGCAGGACUGUUACCUUGAAAAAUUAGAGUGCUUAAAGCAGGCUAUCGCCUGAAUACAUUAGCAUGGAAUAAUGAAAUAGGACGGCAUGGUUCUAUUUUGUUGGUUUCUAGGAUCACCGUAAUGAUUAAUAGGGAUAGUUGGGGGCAUUAGUAUUCAAUUGUCAGAGGUGAAAUUCUUGGAUUUAUUGAAGACUAACUUCUGCGAAAGCAUUUGCCAAGGAUGUUUUCAUUAAUCAAGAACGAAAGUUAGGGGAUCGAAGACGAUCAGAUACCGUCGUAGUCUUAACCAUAAACUAUGCCGACUAGGGAUCGG